GACCUAGAGAUGCAGCUAAACAGGUGGCAAAUCAGAGGGUUUAAGGAUUGUCUGUCAGGUGAGAAGGACUCCCUGGAGCUGCAGGUGAACAGGUUACAGGUGGAGUUGGAUACUGUUAGGAAUACUGUGCACUCCAAUCGUUCCACAGAACCCUGCAGCAGGUGGAGUGCUGAGGUGAUGUCUGACCUCCAGGCUGAGGCGGACCGAUGGAAAAGACUGUAUGAAGACCUGCUCAGACUCACCACACAGCAGGUACCCUGUCUGAAUGAGAACACUAUGAACUGUUAUAUAUGAAGCUUCACACACACGUACGCAGCCCGUUUUAAUGUGUAUUUGGUUUGGUCAGGGCCAGCGGGCAGCAGAUGGGCAUCUCAAACCCUCCUGAGGAUCCAAACACAGAGCAGAGUUUCACAUCUUACACCGAUUCAAACUGACCCAUGAAAAACCCCUAAACCUGUAGUUCUGUUGAAAUCACUUUUAUUGAAUAUGCAGGGUUUAUGAAAGAAGAGAGCUGUUCAGAUCAAGUUCUUCACUUUUAUUUGGUUUGCUGUUUGUUCUCUGGUGCUUCAGGGUCACCAGAAUUACAAUAAAUGUUAUGAAGUUUAUUUCGAGUUUUAUGCAU
This 622-nucleotide long non-coding RNA is filed under the name Sinocyclocheilus anshuiensis. RNAcentral describes it as "lncRNA (ENSSANG00000027459.1)". Lineage: Eukaryota; Metazoa; Chordata; Actinopteri; Cypriniformes; Cyprinidae. The record is from RNAcentral.